GAAAUGCGAUAAGUAAUGUGAAUUGCAGAAUUCAGUGAAUCAUCGAAUCUUUGAACGCACCUUGCGCUCCUUGGUAUUCCUUGGAGCAUGCCUGUUUGAGUAUCAUGAAAUCUUCAAAGUAAAUCUUUUGUUAACUCAAUUGGUUUCUACUUUGGUAUUGGAGGUCUUUGCAGCUUCACACCUGCUCCUCUUUGUUCAUUAGCUGGAUCUCAGUGUUAUGCUUGGUUCCACUCGGCGUGAUAAGUUAUCUAUCGCUGAGGAAACUGUAAAAGGUGGCCAAGGUAAAUGCAGAUGAACCGCUUCUAAUAGUCCAUUGACUUGGACAAUACUUUUAUGAUCUGAUCUCAAAUCAGGUAGGAAUACCCGCUGAACUUAAGC
This 378-nucleotide unclassified non-coding RNA is filed under the name plant metagenome. RNAcentral's name for it is "partial contains 5.8S ribosomal RNA, internal transcribed spacer 2, and large subunit ribosomal RNA". The stretch from base 1 to 105 matches the Rfam family "5.8S ribosomal RNA", at positions 50 to 154 of the family's 154-position model. The record is from RNAcentral.